UAGUUUAGCCCCAGUGACCAAAGUCCUCUGUUCAUCUACAGAAAAGUUACAGCACAGGCAGCACUAAUGUUAGACUCACAGAGAUCCUGCCCCCCUGCCUCAUCCUUGACCUGAAUGGACUAACUCUAAGGGAUGUCAGCUUCUGUGGCCUUUUGACUCACAUCAGAUAGU
RNAcentral lists this small RNA (171 nucleotides) under Gopherus agassizii (Agassiz's desert tortoise). Its description in RNAcentral is "TUC338 (ENSGAGG00000020887.1)". Lineage: Eukaryota; Metazoa; Chordata; Testudines; Testudinidae. The record is from RNAcentral.